This 524-nucleotide ribosomal RNA is filed under the name uncultured bacterium. Its description in RNAcentral is "bacterial SSU rRNA". It matches the Rfam family "Bacterial small subunit ribosomal RNA", at positions 47 to 570 of the family's 1533-position model. The record is from RNAcentral.
CCUAAUACAUGCAUGUCGAACGAAGCACUUGUGCUUAGUGGCAAAUGGGUGAGUAACACGUACUUAAUCUACCCCCAAGUUUGGGAUAACAGUUGGAAACAAUUGCUAAUACCAAAUACAUAUAAGUUUUGCAUAAUUCUUAUAUAAAAGGAGCGUUUGUUUCGCUAGGGGAUGAGAGUGCGCUACAUUAGUUAGUUGGUAGGGUAAGAGCCUACCAAGACUAUGAUGUAUAGCGGGGCUGAGAAGCUGAACCGCCACACUGGGACUGAGAUACGGCCCAGACUCCUACGGGAGGCAGCAGUAGGGAAUAUUCCACAAUGAGCGAAAGCUUGAUGGAGCAACACAGCGUGCAGGAAGACGACCUUAGGGUUGUAAACUGCUGUUAUGAGGGAAGAAAAAUAAAAUUAGGAAAUGAAUUUUACAUGACGGUACCUCAUCAGAAAGCACCGGCAAACUAUGUGCCAGCAGCCGCGGUAAUACAUAGGGUGCAAGCGUUAUCCGGAAUUAUUGGGCGUAAAGUGUCC